Molecule: ribosomal RNA, 800 nt
Filed under: uncultured bacterium
Lineage: Bacteria
Description: bacterial SSU rRNA
Rfam family: Bacterial small subunit ribosomal RNA
Source: RNAcentral
GUCAGCGGUGAAAUUUGCGGCUCAACCGUAACACUGCCGUUGAAACUGUUUGCCUUGAAUUUAGUUGAAGUGGGCGGAAUGUGUUGUGUAGCGGUGAAAUGCUUAGAUAUAACACGGAACACCGAUUGCGAAGGCAGCCCACUAAGCUAUGAUUGACGCUGAUGCACGAAAGCGUGGGUAGCGAACAGGAUUAGAUACCCUGGUAGUCCACGCCGUAAACGAUGAUUACUCGUUGUCGGCCAUACACCGUCGGCGACCGAGCGAAAGCAUUAAGUAAUCCACCUGGGGAGUACGUUGGCAACAAUGAAACUCAAAGGAAUUGACGGGGGCCCGCACAAGCGGAGGAACAUGUGGUUUAAUUCGAUGAUACGCGAGGAACCUUACCUGGACUUAAAUGUGGGAUGCAUGGGGCAGAGAUGUCCCUUUCUUCGGACCUCCUACAAGGUGCUGCAUGGUUGUCGUCAGCUCGUGCCGUGAGGUGUCGGGUUAAGUCCCAUAACGAGCGCAACCCCUAUCUUUAGUUACCAGCGCGUAGAGGCGGGGACUCUAAAGAGACUGCCGGUGUAAACCGUGAGGAAGGUGGGGAUGACGUCAAAUCAGCACGGCCCUUACGUCCAGGGCUACACACGUGUUACAAUGGCCGGUACAAAGGGCAGCUACAUGGCGACAUGAUGCUAAUCCCCAAACCCGGUCUCAGUUCGGAUCGGAGUCUGCAACCCGACUCCGUGAAGCUGGAUUCGCUAGUAAUCGCGCAUCAGCCAUGGCGCGGUGAAUACGUUCCCGGGCCUUGUACACACCGC